CGAGCGGGCCAACGUGAUCGCCCCGAGAAAUCGGGGAGGAAAGUCCGAACUCCGAACGGGCGGCAUGCCGGGUAACCCCCGGUCGCGGCGACGCGAAGGAAAGUGCCACAGAAAACAAACCGCCCUGCGACCCCUCACGGGGAAGCACGGCAAGGGUGAAACGGUGCGGUAAGAGCGCACCGCCCCGGCGGCAACGCCGGGGGCACGGCAAACCCCAUGCGGAGCAAGGCCAAAUAGGGAGACGGUCGGGCGCCCGUCCCAUCCCGCCGCGAGGCGGGACCGUCUCCGGGUCGGCUGCUGGAACCCGAGGGCAACCUCGGGUCUAGAGGAAUGAUCGCGGCGGUACCGGGAAACCGGGACCGACAGAAUUCGGCUUAGCGACCCGCUCGGAGC
Molecule: RNase P RNA, 393 nt
Filed under: Acidobacteriota bacterium
Lineage: Bacteria; Pseudomonadati; Acidobacteriota
Description: RNase P RNA component class A
Rfam family: Bacterial RNase P class A
About the family: Ribonuclease P (RNase P) is a ubiquitous endoribonuclease, found in archaea, bacteria and eukarya as well as chloroplasts and mitochondria.
Source: RNAcentral